Molecule: unclassified non-coding RNA, 337 nt
Filed under: soil metagenome
Description: partial contains 5.8S ribosomal RNA, internal transcribed spacer 2, and large subunit ribosomal RNA
Rfam family: 5.8S ribosomal RNA (bases 1-120)
Source: RNAcentral
GAUGAAGAACGUAGCGAAAUGCGAUAAGUAGUGUGAAUUGCAGAAUUCAGUGAAUCAUCGUAUCUUUGAACGCACAUUGCGCCCCUUGGUAUUCCAUGGGGCAUGCCUGUUCGAGCGUCAUUUGUACCUUCAAGCUCUGCUUGGUGUUGGGUGUUUGUCUCGCCUCUGCGUGUAGACUCGCCUUAAAACAAUUGGCAGCCGGCGUAUUGAUUUCGGAGCGCAGUACAUCUCGCGCUUUGCACUCAUAACGACGACGUCCAAAAGUACAUUUUUACACUCUUGACCUCGGAUCAGGUAGGGAUACCCGCUGAACUUAAGCAUAUCAAUAAGCGGAGGA